UACGAGGUCGAGCGUUAAUCGGAAUUACUGGGCGGUAAAGCGUGCGCAGGCGGUUUGUUAAGCGAGAUGUGAAAGCCCCCGGGCUCAACCUGGGAAUUGCAUUUCGGAACUGGCGAACUAGGAGUCUUGUAGAGGGGGUAGAAUUCCAGGUGUAGCGGUGAAAUGCGUAGAGAUCUGGAGGAAUACCGGUGGCGAAGGCGGCCCCCUGGACAAAGACUGACGCUCAGGCACGAAAGCGUGGGGAGCAAACAGGAUUAGAUACCCGCGUAGU
Molecule: ribosomal RNA, 271 nt
Filed under: uncultured bacterium
Lineage: Bacteria
Description: partial 16S ribosomal RNA
Rfam family: Bacterial small subunit ribosomal RNA
Source: RNAcentral